AGCGUAUAUUAAAGUUGUUGCAGUUAAAAAGCUCGUAGUUGGAUUUCGGAAGGUCCUUAGCAGUCCGCCCCUUCGGGGAGCGGGUUGCUGGCCUCCUAUGUUCCUAACGGUCCUCAUCCGCGAGGGUGGGGAAUCAACCGCUAGGAUCGUUUACUUUGAGGAAAUUAGAGUGUUCAAAGCAGGCGUAACUCGCCUCCGAAUACGUUAGCAUGGGAUAAUGGAAUACGACUUCGGUCUUGUUUCGUUGGUUUCGCUUGGCUGAAGUAAUGAUUGAUAGGGACAGUUGGGGGCAUUAGUAUUUAGUUGUCAGAGGUGAAAUUCUAGGAUUUACUAAAGACUGACCAAUGCGAAAGCAUUUGCCAAGGAUGUUUUCAUUAAUCAAGAACGAAAGUAGGGGGAUCGAAGACGAUCAGAUACCGUCGUAGUCUCUACCGUAAACUAUGCCGACCAGGGAUCCGGAGAGUUUGCAUGGAUGACUCCCCGGGCACCUUGUGAGAAAUCAUAAGUGUUUGGGUUUUGGGGGGAGUAUGGUCGCAAGGCUGAAACUUAAAGGAAUUGACGGAAGGGCACCACCAGGAGUGGAACCUGCGGCUUAAUUUGACUCAACACGGGGAAACUUACGAGGUCAGGACACUGUGAGGAUUGACAGAUUGAAAGCUCUUUCUUGAUUCAGUGGGUGGUGGUGCAUGGCCGUUCUUAGUUGGUGGAGUGAUUUGUCUGGUUAAUUCCGUUAACGAACGAGACCUUAACCUG
Molecule: ribosomal RNA, 753 nt
Filed under: Vermamoeba vermiformis
Lineage: Eukaryota; Tubulinea; Echinamoebida; Vermamoebidae
Description: SSU rRNA
Rfam family: Eukaryotic small subunit ribosomal RNA
Source: RNAcentral